Molecule: RNA transcript, 1409 nt
Organism: Solanum pennellii
Lineage: Eukaryota; Viridiplantae; Streptophyta; Magnoliopsida; Solanales; Solanaceae
Exons: 6
Source: RefSeq, a predicted model, not a curated record
UCUUCUUCCAGGCGAGCUUCCAUUUUUUUCUUCUCCAACUUUCUAUCUAUUUUCUCUUCCAUUUUGCUUUUUUGCUCACACUGUUUUUCUUUGCAUUCUCAUCUUCUUCCAUGAGUUUUAAUUGAACUUUGUUAUAUUUUCUUGGUUAUUUUAAUAUUGCUUUCAAUUUUUUCUGCUUUAAUUUGUUGAUUUGUGAUUGUAAGUAUGUUGCAUGGACGAAAUUCCUAUGUUGAAUCCCACUUCUUAUUCGUCUCCUGUGCACAAGACGGUAGAUUCGUCUCAAUUUUGUAUUGAUAGGUCGUAUUAUUAAAGGGCACAACCAAAAAUUUCUUUGGCCAUAUACCAGCAAAGACCUCAAAAUUCAAUUGGGUAUGAUGUAGAUUUCUUCGUCUUUCAUCUAUACCAUUUUGCGAAGUACAAAAAAUUAUCAUUUGUAAACCCUAAAUGUUAGACCAAAUAAAAUGUUUUUUUUUCCAGUAUUGACAUCAUUGGCAUGGAAAAUUGUGGAAAGUCUAUGACCGAAAAAAAAUUGAACUUAUGUGCUUUUUUUUUUUUAUAUAUUUGAGAAAUUAGUAAUGUAAGUUGUAUUUUAUUUGGCCCCAUUUCACUAAACAACUUGAUAAUUGCAAAUAUUCUUAAGGAUUCAUUCAGUAAAGAAUACAGCGUUCUAUUUACUACUUACAGGAAACGGACGUAUGACCACCUCUGUUCAUCAUUCUUUGCCAUUUUACGAGCAACUUCCAGACUCUUUGAUUUCGAGCACCACGUUUUCGAAUCUUACUAUUCUCCAUUCCAAUUGAUCUUGGAGUUGCACUUCAUAUGUGGAAGUAGAAAGUUGAGAAUACAACAACACACCUCCGAAAAAUGAAGAAGGUAUCAUUGAAUGUGAAAAGGUCCUAUAUUGCCCCAUUUCAGAUGAAGGAACACGACAUGUUCCUUGAUAAUUUAGAUAACCUAUUAAAGGAACGACUGUGGAAGAAGAGCACACCAGAUGGCUAUAUCUCUUAUGUGCGCCUUCUUGCGGAUCAACGCUAUUGUGGUAUAUCAUAUGUGGACAAAAAAUAAGUCUAUUCCCUUUUGAAGGAGCUGCAAAUCACCAAGUUCGACCAACUCAACCUCAAGAUAAUUUCAACAAAAGAAAAAUUAUACAAUCCUCUAACCAUUUCUCAAACAAGAACAACAGAUAGUAAUAUUCACGCAUUGAAAAGUAACAUCUGGAAGGAAGGAGUUGAAGAGUUGUUGUUCCAAUGACACAUUGCAAUUGCUGGCAUACUACCUUUUUUUUUUUUUUUUAGUUUUUUGUUUCUAACUUAGUUGAUUGUCCCUUCAACUAAAUCAUUUAUAACUUGAAUACAUUUCGUUGAAAAUUGUUAUUUAUAGUUGGAAUAGAUUCCAAAUUACUUUGUUUA